This 568-nucleotide small RNA is filed under the name Pan troglodytes (chimpanzee). Its description in RNAcentral is "retained intron". Lineage: Eukaryota; Metazoa; Chordata; Mammalia; Primates; Hominidae. The record is from RNAcentral.
GACCUACUCUGUGGAGUACCUGGACAGCAGCAAGCUGGCAGGGUACCUGCACACACUGGUGCAGAACCUGGUCAACAACGGCUACGUGCGGGACGAGACUGUGCGCGCCGCCCCCUAUGACUGGCGGCUGGAGCCCGGCCAGCAGGAGGAGUACUACCGCAAGCUCGCAGGGCUGGUGGAGGAGAUGCACGCUGCCUAUGGGAAGCCUGUCUUCCUCAUUGGCCACAGCCUCGGCUGUCUACACUUGCUCUAUUUCCUGCUGCGCCAGCCCCAGGCCUGGAAGGACCGCUUUAUUGAUGGCUUCAUCUCUCUUGGGGCUCCCUGGGGUGGCUCCAUCAAGCCCAUGCUGGUCUUGGCCUCAGGUGAGAAGGCCUCGAACACUUAGGUCCAGCGAUGGGUGAGACCAAGCUGAUCCUGGGCCUGCCUUCAUUGCGGCUCCUGCUCACAGUGGCCUCUAGGGGUGCUAUCUACCACUCCUGGGCUGGCAUGCUUGCUGUCACUGGCCCCCAGAGCAGUGACCCUGGCCUGAGCAAUUAGGGUGGCUCCUUCCAGAGUCUGUGUCAGUGAU